This is a long non-coding RNA of Zophobas morio, 221 nucleotides long. RefSeq lists it as uncharacterized. The record is from RefSeq and is a predicted model, not a curated record. The transcript is spliced from 3 exons. Lineage: Eukaryota; Metazoa; Arthropoda; Insecta; Coleoptera; Tenebrionidae.
AAAAACAUUCGGCGCAUCUUAAAAAAGGUAACGCAAGUGAGCAAACUAUCGCUUCCGGCCUGAUGCUGCGGUCCGAUUCGCUCCGCAUUAAAUACUUGAUGUCGUAUGUGCUGGGAAAGUAAAGUUCUAAUACUUUUAAAAACUCGCUUUCUUCUAGCGGAAGUUUCUUGCAGGAUAAUCAAAACUUGCCCUUGAAAUGAAAUCCACUUUACUUCUGGGUU